RNAcentral lists this ribosomal RNA (505 nucleotides) under uncultured bacterium. Its description in RNAcentral is "partial 16S ribosomal RNA". It matches the Rfam family "Bacterial small subunit ribosomal RNA", at positions 29 to 523 of the family's 1533-position model. The record is from RNAcentral.
AGUGAACGCUGGCGGUAGGCCUAACACAUGCAAGUCGAACGGCAGCACAGGAGAGCUUGCUCUCUGGGUGGCGAGUGGCGGACGGGUGAGGAAUACAUCGGAAUCUACUUUUUCGUGGGGGAUAACGUAGGGAAACUUACGCUAAUACCGCAUACGACCUACGGGUGAAAGCAGGGGACCUUCGGGCCUUGCGCGAUUGAAUGAGCCGAUGUCGGAUUAGCUAGUUGGCGGGGUAAAGACCCACCAAGGCGACGAUCCGUAGCUGGUCUGAGAGGAUGAUCAGCCACACUGGAACUGAGACACGGUCCAGACUCCUACGGGAGGCAGCAGUGGGGAAUAUUGGACAAUGGGCGCAAGCCUGAUCCAGCCAUACCGCGUGGGUGAAGAAGGCCUUCGGGUUGUAAAGCCCUUUGUUGGGAAAGAAAUCCAGCUGGCUAAUACCCGGUUGGGAUGACGGUACCCAAAGAAUAAGCACCGGCUAACUUCGUGCCAGCCGCCGCAGUAA